This 1146-nucleotide long non-coding RNA is filed under the name Sorghum bicolor (sorghum). RNAcentral's name for it is "long non-coding RNA (SBIC_LNC013295)". Lineage: Eukaryota; Viridiplantae; Streptophyta; Magnoliopsida; Poales; Poaceae. The record is from RNAcentral.
GUCCAUGAUUGAAUAAUAUUUAUCAAAUAAAAAUGAAAAUACUAUAGUGUCGAAAUCCAAAUUUUUUUUGAACUAAACAAGGCCGAGGCUGAUGUAUAUAUUGCUGGCACAAAGGACAGUUCGGUUCGAACUUCAGCAUUGGCAUAGCCUCAGUGCCUGCUGUUCAAAAAGCGUCUAUUUUGUAUCAAUGUUGAGGUUCUGGUUAGUUUCUUAUAGAAUGAAAAACAUAAAAUAUUAACUACUUUAAAAUAAUGAAAUGUAAAAUAUUAAAAUUUUUAAGGUUAUAUGUUUAGUUUCAUUCAAAAUACAUAAUUUAGGCCUUGUUUAGUUCACUCAAAAACCAAAAACAUUUCAAAAUUUCUCGUUACAUCAAAUCUUGCAGCACAUGUAUAAAACAUUAAAUAUAGAAAAAAAAUAAAAACUAAUUGCACAAUUUGCCUGUAAAUCGUGAGAUGAAUAUUUUAAGCCUAAUUACACCAUGAUUAGACGAUGUUUGUUAAAUAAAAAGAAAAAUGCUACAGUAUCAAAAUUCAAAAACUUUUUAAAUUUAAACAAUGCCUUAUUGUCCUCGUUAUGAUAUCUUGAGACCUUUUUGGGUUUUUUAGCCUCUCGAGGCUAACAUCUAAAAUAGAGAAUAAUAACUGUUUUGCCAAAAUUUUUGCAUAGUGUAUUAGUGUUUAAUUUUAUUGUGUAAAGUGAUGGAUCAAAAUCCAGAAUUUUUUGAGAUAAAAAGGAAACUAAACACCCUCUGAGAAAGCACUGUCUUUCUAUAUUUGAGAAAUUUGAAUUUUGAACCUCUAUAAUCUAAGGCCUUGUUUAGCUCGCGAAAAGGAAUUUUUUGGAUAUCACAUUAGAUAUUGUGGGGGUAUAAACCCCUAUACCCUUACGGCUAGACUUGGGCCAGGAGACUUGGCCCAUUACGAGACAAGCUCAAAGCUUGAUCCGACAGCUUGGAGUUUCGCGCAAGGGAACAUGCCGUGAAGAUCAAGCAGGAUUCUAGUCGGUUAGAAUAGGAAUUGAUAUCGAACUAUCUAUGGCAAUUAUAACCGACUAGGAUUAGUUUCCAGAUCUGUAACCUUGCCCUCCGGACUCGGACUAUAUAAGGAGGGGCAAGGGACCCCCCUAGGACACGAUUAUUCUCUCAAC